AUCCAGCUGACGAAUCCCAAAUAAGAUGAGAUGUGUGUCCUGGAU
This 45-nucleotide non-coding RNA is filed under the name Schistosoma mansoni. Lineage: Eukaryota; Metazoa; Platyhelminthes; Trematoda; Strigeidida; Schistosomatidae. The record is from RNAcentral.